RNAcentral lists this ribosomal RNA (253 nucleotides) under uncultured bacterium. Its description in RNAcentral is "partial 16S ribosomal RNA". It matches the Rfam family "Bacterial small subunit ribosomal RNA", at positions 524 to 776 of the family's 1533-position model. The record is from RNAcentral.
UACGUAGGGAGCAAGCGUUGUCCGGAAUCAUUGGGCGUAAAGAGCGCGUAGGCGGUCCGGUAAGUCGGUUGUGAAAACUGGGGGCUCAACCCUCAGAGGCCGACCGAUACUGCCGGGCUAGAGUCCGGAAGAGGCGAGUGGAAUUCCUGGUGUAGCGGUGAAAUGCGCAGAUAUCAGGAGGAACACCAAUGGCGAAGGCAGCUCGCUGGGACGGUACUGACGCUGAGGCGCGAAAGCGUGGGGAGCAAACAGG